GUGCCAGAAGCCGCGGUAAUACGUAGGGCGCAAGCGUUGUCCGGAAUUAUUGGGCGUAAAGAGCUCGUAGGCGGCUUGUCACGUCGGAUGUGAAAGCCCGGGGCUUAACCCCGGGUCUGCAUUCGAUACGGGCUAGCUAGAGUGUGGUAGGGGAGAUCGGAAUUCCUGGUGUAGCGGUGAAAUGCGCAGAUAUCAGGAGGAACACCGGUGGCGAAGGCGGAUCUCUGGGCCAUUACUGACGCUGAGGAGCGAAAGCGUGGGGAGCGAACAGGAUUAGAUACCCUGGUAGUCCACGCCGUAAACGUUGGGAACUAGGUGUUGGCGACAUUCCACGUCGUCGGUGCCGCAGCUAACGCAUUAAGUUCCCCGCCUGGGGAGUACGGCCGCAAGGCUAAACUCAAAGGAAUUGACGGGGGCCCGCACAAGCAGCGGAGCAUGUGGCUUAAUUCGACGCAACGCGAAGAACCUUACCAAGGCUUGACAUAUGCCGGAAAGCAUCAGAGAUGGUGCCCCCCUUGUGGUCGGUAUACAGGUGGUGCAUGGCUGUCGUCAGCUCGUGUCGUGAGAUGUUGGGUUAAGUCCCGCAACGAGCGCAACCCUUGUUCUGUGUUGCCAGCAUGCCCUUCGGGGUGAUGGGGACUCACAGGAGACUGCCGGGGUCAACUCGGAGGAAGGUGGGGACGACGUCAAGUCAUCAUGCCCCUUAUGUCUUGGGCUGCACACGUGCUACAAUGGCCGGUACAAUGAGCUGCGAUGCCGCGAGGCGGAGCGAAUCUCAAAAAGCCGGUCUCAGUUCGGAUUGGGGUCUGCAACUCGACCCCAUGAAGUCGGAGUUGCUAGUAAUCGCAGAUCAGCAUUGCUGCGGUGAAUACGUUCCCGG
RNAcentral lists this ribosomal RNA (880 nucleotides) under uncultured Streptomyces sp. RNAcentral's name for it is "bacterial SSU rRNA". It matches the Rfam family "Bacterial small subunit ribosomal RNA", at positions 505 to 1377 of the family's 1533-position model. The record is from RNAcentral. Lineage: Bacteria; Bacillati; Actinomycetota; Actinomycetes; Kitasatosporales; Streptomycetaceae.